AGAUGCAGAACUUGGUGUUGCUGCUGAUGAGGCAACACAGAAAGAAUCUCCAAAGAGAUACAGGAUCCAAAAUAGAACUUACAGACAUUAUUCUAGAGACAAGCAAAGUUCCUGGAGAAUUGUAGGGAAGUCAAUACUGUUCAGUAUUUGGGGACUUUAAGCCAGUUGUUGUCACAGCUCGACUGAUCUGAGCCAUAUAUCAUGGAUAGAUAUAUACCUGAGGAUAUGGAAGGUCCUGUUUGAAAAACAACAACAGAUGCUUAGAGCAGAGUUAGUUCCCUUUAUGUGUAGUGGAAGCCAUGUUGUUCAGAAGGACUGUGAUCCCAGUGCAAUACACACAUUUGUGGAGAGUCUAGCCCUCUUGUGCUCCACCAGUACCUAUCAGACCAAGAACACUCAAGUAUUUGGGUCAAACACAUAACCUCUGGUACAGAUCUUGCCAAUUGUUGGAACAGAUAGCAUUUGAUAAACUUCAUCAGGGUUGGUGAAGAGAGG
Long non-coding RNA from Mercenaria mercenaria, 495 nucleotides. RefSeq lists it as uncharacterized. The transcript has 4 exons. The record is from RefSeq and is a predicted model, not a curated record. NCBI's taxonomy places the organism in Eukaryota, Metazoa, Mollusca, Bivalvia, Venerida, Veneridae.